This 484-nucleotide ribosomal RNA is filed under the name uncultured bacterium. Its description in RNAcentral is "partial 16S ribosomal RNA". It matches the Rfam family "Bacterial small subunit ribosomal RNA", at positions 30 to 507 of the family's 1533-position model. The record is from RNAcentral.
AUUGAACGCUGGCGGCAGGCCUAACACAUGCAAGUCGAGCGGAUGAAGGGAGCUUGCUCCUGGAUUCAGCUGCGGACGGGUGAGUAAUGCCUAGGAAUCUGCCUGGUAGUGGGGGAUAACGUCCGGAAACGGGCGCUAAUACCGCAUACGUCCUGAGGGAGAAAGUGGGGGAUCUUCGGACCUCACGCUAUCAGAUGAGCCUAGGUCGUAUUAGCUAGUUGGUGGGGUAAAGGCCUACCAAGGCGACGAUCCGUAACUGGUCUGAGAGGAUGAUCAGUCACACUGGAACUGAGACACGGUCCAGACUCCUACGGGAGGCAGCAGUGGGGAAUAUUGGACAAUGGGCGAAAGCCUGAUCCAGCCAUGCCGCGUGUGUGAAGAAGGUCUUCGGAUUGUAAAGCACUUUAAGUUGGGAGGAAGGGCAGUAAGUUAAUACCUUGCUGUUUUGACGUUACCAACAGAAUAAGCAACGGCUAACUUCGUG